AGCCCUGCCAGCCCAGCCCAGGCUGGCCCAGCUUAGCCACACAUGCACCAUGAGGUACCCUUUGAUGCCGCUGGUGAACGACCUCACAUUUUCUUUCCUGGUUUUCUGGUUCUGCCUCCCUGUGGGUUUGCUGUUCUUAUUGAUCAUCUGGCUACGCUUCUUACUUAGCCAAGAUUCAGAGGAAAAUGACUCCGAUGUAUGCUUGGAUUGGGAGCCCUGGAGCAAAGGCCCGGCCGAGUUUUGCUGGAAGGGGACACUCCACGGCCAAGAGAAGGAGAGGCCCUGCUGGUGAGCCUGCUGUGCCAGGUGAGGCCCUUCCAUGGGCCAGGGGGAGCCUCAAGGCCCACCCAAAGUCUUGGGCAGCUGCUAUGUGGGCAAGAGGCUGCCUCUACCAUAUUAGAGUUUGGUUUUCCUGGAGUCAGCAGGGCAGUGGUAAUGGCGGAAGUGGAUGGGAGAGGCUUGCCAGGGAGGCAAGAGGACUUUGGCAACUGUGGUGCCUCCCUGGAACCCCCAACUCAUCUCCUCUUCAGACCGACAUGCGAAAGCCUCCAGAGGACCCAGCCCUUCUCCAGCAUCGCAGAUGACCUCCAGCCCUCCAGGAAGCCGCCCGAGUCUGGGAGGGCAUGGGAGCAGUGAACCGGCCCACUGGGAGAAAUUGGCCAAUUUAAUUCAGAGGGGUCUUAAAGCAGGGCUGGGCCGGAGGGUGUGGGUCCAUAUUAAAGAAGCGAGGGGCUUCCCAUGCCCGGGGGAACCCUGACAAACCUA
Mandrillus leucophaeus (drill) is the source of this 765-nucleotide RNA transcript. It is a transcript of the gene named adipogenin, with no coding region annotated. The record is from RefSeq and is a predicted model, not a curated record. NCBI's taxonomy places the organism in Eukaryota, Metazoa, Chordata, Mammalia, Primates, Cercopithecidae. The transcript is spliced from 3 exons.